Molecule: ribosomal RNA, 253 nt
Filed under: uncultured bacterium
Lineage: Bacteria
Description: partial 16S ribosomal RNA
Rfam family: Bacterial small subunit ribosomal RNA
Source: RNAcentral
UACGAACUGUGCGAACGUUAUUCGGAAUCACUGGGCUUACAGGGUGCGUAGGCGGCUAUUCAGGGCAGGUGUGAAAGCCCUCGGCUCAACCGAGGAACUGCGCUUGAAACCGGAUGGCUCGAGUCAGCUAGAGGUACACGGAACUUCCAGUGGAGCGGUGAAAUGUGUUGAUAUUGGAAGGAACACCGGAGGCGAAAGCGGUGUACUGGGGCUGGUCUGACGCUGAGGCACGAAAGCCAGGGGAGCGAACGGG